AUAAACUUCAGCAAUAGCAAGCGAGACAGAGAGGGAGAGGGAGAGAGUCGAGAACAACUCUUAUCAAUUGGGAGUUGGGUUUGCCUAGCUUAAAGGGAAUUGCUUCAGGAUUGUAUAUCCUUUUGUUGUCAGUGUCAGAGAGAUAAUAUACACCAUAUAUGCUUUAGCACACACAUCUUAAUUUCAAUUUUGACGCCCACAUUUAUUAGUAUAAUUUUGACACCUACAACUUUUAAGUGUAUAUAUUGAUAUACAGACGUAUUUAAGUUUUUUAUCAGAUGGCAAUGGAUGGAAGUUUCAGUCUUGAAUCUGCAGUCAAGAGGUUCCUUUCACGAUGCCCAGAGCUUGCUAGAACUCGGAAGCUCAGUGAUCUUGAAAAGAAGGGACACAUGGUGACAGAAGAAGAAGUUAUAAAUUCAGUAGCAGAACUAUUUGUGAACCCAAAUUAU
RNAcentral lists this unclassified non-coding RNA (449 nucleotides) under Hevea brasiliensis (rubber tree). The record is from RNAcentral. Lineage: Eukaryota; Viridiplantae; Streptophyta; Magnoliopsida; Malpighiales; Euphorbiaceae.